UACGUAGGGCGCAAGCGUUGUCCGGAAUUAUUGGGCGUAAAGAGCUCGUAGGUGGUCUGUUGCGUCCGCUGUGAAAACCCAGGGCUUAACCCUGGGCUGGCAGUGGAUACGGGAAGACUAGAGGUAGGUAGGGGAGAAUGGAAUUCCCGGUGUAGCGGUGAAAUGCGCAGAUAUCAGGAAGAACACCGAUGGCGAAGGCGGUUCUCUGGGCCGUAACUGACGCUGAGGAGCGAAAGCGUGGGGAGCGAACAGG
This 253-nucleotide ribosomal RNA is filed under the name uncultured bacterium. RNAcentral's name for it is "partial 16S ribosomal RNA". It matches the Rfam family "Bacterial small subunit ribosomal RNA", at positions 524 to 776 of the family's 1533-position model. The record is from RNAcentral.